RNAcentral lists this ribosomal RNA (253 nucleotides) under uncultured bacterium. RNAcentral describes it as "partial 16S ribosomal RNA". It matches the Rfam family "Bacterial small subunit ribosomal RNA", at positions 524 to 776 of the family's 1533-position model. The record is from RNAcentral.
CACGGGGGGAGCAAGCGUUGUUCGGAAUCAUUGGGCGUAAAGGGUGUGUAGGUGGCGCCGUAAGUCGGGUGUGAAAUUUCGGAGCUUAACUCCGAAACUGCAUUCGAUACUGCGGUGCUUGAGGACUGGAGAGGAGACUGGAAUUCAUGGUGUAGCAGUGAAAUGCGUAGAGAUCAUGAGGAAGACCAGUGGCGAAGGCGGGUCUCUGGACAGUUCCUGACACUGAGGCACGAAGGCCAGGGGAGCAAACGGG